AGAGUUUGAUCCUGGCUCAGAUUGAACGCUGGCGGCAUGCCUUACACAUGCAAGUCGAACGGCAGCACGGGAGCAAUCCUGGUGGCGAGUGGCGAACGGGUGAGUAAUACAUCGGAACGUGCCCAAUCGUGGGGGAUAACGCAGCGAAAGCUGUGCUAAUACCGCAUACGAUCUACGGAUGAAAGCAGGGGACCGCAAGGCCUUGCGCGAGUGGAGCGGCCGAUGGCAGAUUAGGUAGUUGGUGAGGUAAAGGCUCACCAAGCCUUCGAUCUGUAGCUGGUCUGAGAGGACGACCAGCCACACUGGGACUGAGACACGGCCCAGACUCCUACGGGAGGCAGCAGUGGGGAAUUUUGGACAAUGGGCGCAAGCCUGAUCCAGCCAUGCCGCGUGCAGGAUGAAGGCCUUCGGGUUGUAAACUGCUUUUGUACGGAACGAAACGGCUCUUUCUAAUAAAGAGGGCUAAUGACGGUACCGUAAGAAUAAGCACCGGCUAACUACGUGCCAGCAGCCGCGGUAAUACGUAGGGUGCAAGCGUUAAUCGGAAUUACUGGGCGUAAAGCGUGCGCAGGCGGUGAUGUAAGACAGUUGUGAAAUCCCCGGGCUCAACCUGGGAACUGCAUCUGUGACUGCAUCGCUGGAGUGCGGCAGAGGGGGAUGGAAUUCCGCGUAGCAGUGAAAUGCGUAGAUAUGCGGAGGAACACCGAUGGCGAAGGCAAUCCCCUGGGCCUGCACUGACGCUCAUGCACGAAAGCGUGGGGAGCAAACAGGAUUAGAUACCCCAGUAGUCC
This 791-nucleotide ribosomal RNA is filed under the name uncultured bacterium. RNAcentral describes it as "bacterial SSU rRNA". It matches the Rfam family "Bacterial small subunit ribosomal RNA", at positions 8 to 796 of the family's 1533-position model. The record is from RNAcentral.